Molecule: ribosomal RNA, 777 nt
Filed under: uncultured Neocallimastigales
Lineage: Eukaryota; Fungi; Neocallimastigomycota; Neocallimastigomycetes; Neocallimastigales
Description: partial large subunit ribosomal RNA
Rfam family: Eukaryotic large subunit ribosomal RNA
Source: RNAcentral
CGCAUCUGUGCAUGCAGCAUAUCAAUAAGCGGAGGAAAAGAAACUAACAAGGAUUCCCUUAGUAACGGCGAGUGAAGCGGGAAGAGCUCAAAUUUGAAAUCUUCAAGGUUUUACCUUGACGAAUUGUAGUUUAAAGAAGUGUUUUCUGUUGAAGUUUUGGUAAAAGUUCUUUGGAAUAGGACAUCAUAGAGGGUGAGAAUCCCGUAUUUGACCAUUAUUUUCAGCUGUGUGAUACACUUUCAAAGAGUCGGAUUGUUUGGGAAUGCAGUCCAAAAUGGGUGGUAAAUUUCAUCUAAAGCUAAAUAUUGGCGAGAGACCGAUAGCGAACAAGUACCGUGAGGGAAAGAUGAAAAGAACUUUGAAAAGAGAGUUAAACAGUACGUGAAAUUGUCAAAAGGGAAGCGUUUGACACCAGUGUUGUUUUCUCGAAAAUCAAUUAAAAAGAGUUUGAUUUUGUUGUGUAUUGACCUUAACAGCUUGCAUUUCAAUUUUCUUGCUUUUUUUAAUGCACUUUUCGUUUAACAAGUCAACAUCAGGUUUCUUUUGUUGUAAAAAGGUCAUUGGAAGGUGGCUUUCUUUUCGGAGAAAGUGUUUAUAGCCUUUGACUCCUGCAAUCGGGGAGACUGAGGUCUGCAGCGUAGAUCCUUCGGGGCUAGAUACAUUUGUGCUAAGUUAUAGCAUUUUUAUAGACAACUUGUUGACUAUGAUUUAGUCUUGUAGCUUACUCGCUUAUGUUAUUUUACCUACGCUUAGGAUGUUGACAGCAGUAUAGACUGU